This 853-nucleotide ribosomal RNA is filed under the name uncultured bacterium. RNAcentral describes it as "bacterial SSU rRNA". It matches the Rfam family "Bacterial small subunit ribosomal RNA", at positions 54 to 915 of the family's 1533-position model. The record is from RNAcentral.
CAUGCAAGUUGAACGAGAAUUUUUUAAUUAAUUUCUUCGGAAAGAGAUUAAAGAAGGAAAGUAGCGAACGGGUGAGUAACACGUGAGAAACCUGCCUUUCACAAAGGGAUAGCCUCGGGAAACCGGGAUUAAUACCUUAUGACACUUAGAUAUCGCAUGAUAAUUAAGUUAAAGAAUUUCGGUGAAAGAUGGUCUCGCGUCUGAUUAGCUAGUUGGUAAGGUAACGGCUUACCAAGGCGACGAUCAGUAGCCGGAUUGAGAGGUUGAACGGCCACACUGGAACUGAGACACGGUCCAGACUCCUACGGGAGGCAGCAGUGGGGAAUUUUGCAAUGGGGGAAACCCUGAUGCAGCGACGCCGCGUGAACGAUGAAGGUCUUCGGAUUGUAAAGUUCUGUCCUUAGUGAAGAUAAUGACUGUAACUAAGAAGCAAGCCCUGGCUAAAUACGUGCCAGCAGCCGCGGUAAUACGUAUGGGGCAAGCGUUGUCCGGAAUUAUUGGGCGUAAAGGGUACGUAGGCGGUAAUUUAAGUCUGAAUUUAAAGGCUGUGGCUCAACCAUAGUAAGGUUCAGAUACUGGAUUACUUGAGUAGAUGAGGGGAAAGUGGAAUUCCAUGUGUAGCGGUGAAAUGCGUAGAUAUAUGGAGGAACACCUGUGGCGAAGGCGACUUUCUGGAAUCUAACUGACGCUGAGGUACGAAGGCGUGGGGGCAACAGGAUUAGAUACCCUGGUAGUCCACGCAGUAAACGAUGAGUGCUAGUUGUCGGGAGUCAAAUCUCGGUGACGCAGCUAACGCAUUAAGCACUCCGCCUGGGGAGUACGUACGCAAGUAUGAAACUCAAAGAAAUUGACG